Phrynosoma platyrhinos (Desert horned lizard) is the source of this 71-nucleotide non-coding RNA. The record is from the annotation of a GenBank genome assembly. NCBI's taxonomy places the organism in Eukaryota, Metazoa, Chordata, Lepidosauria, Squamata, Phrynosomatidae.
GCCAGUGUGAUGUAGUGGUUGAGCACUGGACUGUGAUUCUAGAAGCCAGGGUUCAAAUCCCUGCUUGGCCA